RNAcentral lists this ribosomal RNA (492 nucleotides) under uncultured bacterium. RNAcentral's name for it is "partial 16S ribosomal RNA". It matches the Rfam family "Bacterial small subunit ribosomal RNA", at positions 29 to 507 of the family's 1533-position model. The record is from RNAcentral.
AGUGAACGCUGGCGGUAGGCCUAACACAUGCAAGUCGAACGGCAGCACAGUAAGAGCUUGCUCUUACGGGUGGCGAGUGGCGGACGGGUGAGGAAUACAUCGGAAUCUACUUUUUCGUGGGGGAUAACGUAGGGAAACUUACGCUAAUACCGCAUACGACCUACGGGUGAAAGCAGGGGAUCUUCGGACCUUGCGCGAUUGAAUGAGCCGAUGUCGGAUUAGCUAGUUGGCGGGGUAAAGGCCCACCAAGGCGACGAUCCGUAGCUGGUCUGAGAGGAUGAUCAGCCACACUGGAACUGAGACACGGUCCAGACUCCUACGGGAGGCCGCAGUGGGGAAUAUUGGACAAUGGGCGCAAGCCUGAUCCAGCCAUACCGCGUGGGUGAAGAAGGCCAUCGGGUUGUAAAGCCCUUUUGUUGGGAAAGAAAAGCAGCAGGUUAAUACCCCGCUGUUCUGACGGUACCCAAAGAAUAAGCACCGGCUAACUUCGUG